This 491-nucleotide unclassified non-coding RNA is filed under the name Hevea brasiliensis (rubber tree). Lineage: Eukaryota; Viridiplantae; Streptophyta; Magnoliopsida; Malpighiales; Euphorbiaceae. The record is from RNAcentral.
GUCCUGAGGUUAAGCAGCAAUUUGGUGAGUUUUGAGGCUACCUUUCCAUUCCUCUAUGUUAUCUUUUGAAUGUUUAGCACUGGAAUUUGACAAGUUGGUUAUAUCGACAAUUUGACGAUAUGAUUGUUUUUUUACUUUCCAACUCUUUCACCCUCCUAAUUUCUCUUACUCUUUUACCCUCAUAAUUUCUCUUUUUCUUUUUCAUCUCUCUCCAUCAUUUCAUGUGCUUAUGUAUAUAUAAUGUGUAUAAAACUUAGUUAAAAUUGUGCAGUCCAGUUUCCAGAAUCCUUGAGCUCAAUGUGUUUAUUUGGCCUGAUUGUAGUUAUGGUGAAUUAUUUAUUCAAUUUUAAGCGUUCUGCGGUAAUAUUAUUAAUGAUGCUGUCGGCUUUUUCCUAUCAUGUCUGUUACUAAUUUUCUUUCCUCUGUUGUACCUUUUUACUAUCACUCUUGGAAAUGAAUUACUCGUUUCUCUCUAUCUCUCUCUUUCUCUC